Paramisgurnus dabryanus is the source of this 2740-nucleotide long non-coding RNA. RefSeq lists it as uncharacterized. Lineage: Eukaryota; Metazoa; Chordata; Actinopteri; Cypriniformes; Cobitidae. The record is from RefSeq and is a predicted model, not a curated record.
UUAAGUGGACUUUUAAAAAUGCACUUUUUAAUACUGUCUAAUUAAGCUUAACUUAUAGUAAGUACACUUUCAUCACAAUAUUUCUUAACAUACCUAAUUACACUUUUUAAAAAUGCACUUUGUCUAAUUUAGUUUUACUUAAAUGUAACCCUGGUUAAAUAAUUAAAUAUUAUUAUUUUAAAAGUGUGCUUAAAUAUAAUAGAGACUAUUCAUACAUCUACAUUUAUUUUAUAAAUGAGGAAAUACAUGUGAAUAAUUCAAUCUGAAUUAUAAAUCUGAAAUGAGUAAACCAAUCAGAGUGUUUAAUUGUAAGCUCCGCCCCUUUUUUGCUUUUGGAUCGCGUCUCAGUUCAGAGGAGAGAUGCAGAGCGACAGAGACACUCGAUCUGACGCGAGAGUGUUUAAUUUGAUUAAAUAUGACUCCUAAGUUCAUAUAAACUGAAGAAAUCAGAAUUUAACUUGCAUAUAUUCAAUGAUACAGCGUGAUUGUGUGGAUUGAGCACUUUUUGAGCUUUCAUUUUGUACCUGUGGAUUAUGUAAAACCACAUGGUGCGUUGUGUUCACUGCUGUUCGCUGACGCCAUUUUGGUUGCACGUGCCUGUGAAAGACAAAAAGAGAAGGAAACACGUGAAUGGACAGGCCAGGUUUUUUUCCUUUCGUAUGAACAUUCCUUGAGCUGGAUUUUCCUAAUUGAUGGCGAGCUUCCCAUUUCGACUUGAUUGGAUCACGAAUCUAGAGGAAAGGACAAUUUUCUAUUUUAAAUAUUUUUCUUCAGACAAGUAAGAGGAUACAUUUCAGAAACUGUUUCCUUAUUUUGUUUGUUUACUUUAUUGAACUGAAACAUUUCAGAAGCACAAUUCUGAUAAUUUAAGACUGAUCAAUACUCCAAUUGAUAAGAACUUUGAACUUGAAUACUGAUUUCAGUGUGUUACAUAUAUAAUUUGUACCAUCUUUGUACAUUGAUUGUGACUGUGAUUUCUGUAAAUGAGAAGUAAUUUAGAGGGUGCACCCAUAGUAUAUAUAGUUAAUUGUAUUUUCAUUGUUGUUACUAUUUUUGUGAUUAAGGAAAGAAAAAGAAAGGUUUCUCAAUACUCAAAGUAAAAUAAUUUAUUAAUCAACUUACCUUCUGUCUCUGCUUGUUGCUCACUAUCACUGCUACCACCUCCUUCGUACCGUGCACCCUUCUGAUCUUAUUAUUAUGCCUGGUCCAUAAGUAAGUGAGUUAAUACCCGCUACAUAAAGAAAGUACACUUUCAUGGCAAUAUUUCUAAACACAUUUAAUAAAUGAUCAUUAGACUGAUGUGACCUACCAAAGACUUGUUAAUUUAAAGUUCAUGCAGUUCUUUUUUAGUUGUCUGUUAAAAUGUAAAAAAAUUAUAACUUUGAGUUUAUUUUUUUCUAAGGGAUGUAAUUAUUCAAUAUUGAUAGUUGUUUGUUUGAUUCCAAUUUAACAAUAUUAAAAUGAGUUUUUUUUUUGUUUGGACAUAUACAACUCAUAAUUAAUUUAUUAAAUGUACUUUUGCAAAACAAAAAAUCUGAUUCAUAAUUUGACUACCAAACUGUUUUAUUGUCAGUGUAAGCAUUGUGGUUUUUGUUUGUUUGCAAUGCAUUAAACUGAAAUGAAUACAUAUUUAAUUAACUAGAUUUGUUUUUCAGUAUUUUGAGAAGUACAUAAAUAUAUUUCACAUACAAUAGAAGUAGUUAAAGUACAUACUGUAGAAAGAUGCAUUGAAAUCACUUCACUGCACUGAAAUCACAGUUCAACUGAUUUAAUUUUAUAUAUUUGAAUUUAUUUGGCAAACUUGUAUUUGAAACAUAACAUUUAAUGAGUAAUUAAAUGUACUGUUAAUAUACAUUAACUUAUUUUUAAUUUCACAUUAAUUGCUUGACAGUAGAUUGAACAGUGCACUUUAAGUAUAUUCUAAAAACACUAGAAGCAAUUAUGAAAGUAGAUAUAAAGUUGUAAUAAAGUACCAAUUAAGUUGUUCCAAAAAAAUCACUCUUAAUGGCAACUUAUUACAUUUUAUUUCAACUUAAUAUAUGAUAUAUGUGAAAUUAAUUACACUUAAUGUGCAUUUAGUGCGCCGAAAAGAUUGCAUUUAAUUCACACUUAAGAGUAUUGUUAACAGACAUUAAAUUGCAUUUUAAAUCACAUUAAUUUCAUGUCUUUAUAUUGUGUAGUGCACUUUAAGUAUAUUUUAAAAACACUAGAAGCAAUUAUGAAAGUAGGUAUAAAGUUGUAAUAAAGUACCAAUUAAGUUGUUCCAAAAAAUCACUCUUAAUGGCAACUUAUUACAUUUUAUUUCAACUUAAUAUAUGAUAUAUGUGAAAUUAAUUACACUUAAUGUGCAUUUAGUGCGCCGAAAAGAUUGCAUUUAAUUCACACUUAAGAGUAUUGUUAACAGACAUUAAAUUGCAUUUUAAAUCACAUUAAUUUCAUGUCUUUAUAUUGUGUAGUGCACUUUAAGUAUAUUUUAAAAACACUAGAAGCAAUUAUGAAAGUAGGUAUAAAGUUGUAAUAAAGUACCAAUUAAGUUGUUCCAAAAAAUCACUCUUAAUGGCAACUUAUUACAUUUUAUUUCAACUUAAUAUAUGAUAUAUGUGAAAUUAAUUACACUUAAUGUGCAUUCAGUGCGCCGAAAAGAUUGCAUUUAAUUCACACUUAAGUGUAUAUACUUAAAGUGUAUUAUUUAUGUAAUAAGUACACUUUAUAAAAGUACACUUAAGCACACUUUUUUUUC